UACGUAGGGUGCGAGCGUUAAUCGGAAUUACUGGGCGUAAAGCGUGCGCAGGCGGUUUUGUAAGCCAGGUGUGAAAUCCCCGGGCUCAACCUGGGAAUGGCAUUUGGGACUGCAAGGCUGGAGUGCGGCAGAGGAGACUGGAAUUCCUGGUGUAGCAGUGAAAUGCGUAGAUAUCAGGAGGAACACCGGCGGCGAAGGCGGGUCUCUGGGCCGAUAUUGACGCUGAGGAGCGAAAGCGUGGGGAGCGAACAGG
RNAcentral lists this ribosomal RNA (253 nucleotides) under uncultured bacterium. Its description in RNAcentral is "partial 16S ribosomal RNA". It matches the Rfam family "Bacterial small subunit ribosomal RNA", at positions 524 to 776 of the family's 1533-position model. The record is from RNAcentral.